CCAGAUAGCCAUGUCACUCUGCAACUCACAACUGGUAACCCACUGAAGCUAAGCAGGUGUGAGCCAGGUCAGUACCUGGGUGAGAGACCUCCUGGGAAAGCUAAGGUUGCUGCUGGA
RNAcentral lists this ribosomal RNA (117 nucleotides) under Lepisosteus oculatus (spotted gar). The record is from RNAcentral. Lineage: Eukaryota; Metazoa; Chordata; Actinopteri; Semionotiformes; Lepisosteidae.